This 465-nucleotide ribosomal RNA is filed under the name uncultured bacterium. RNAcentral describes it as "partial 16S ribosomal RNA". It matches the Rfam family "Bacterial small subunit ribosomal RNA", at positions 338 to 795 of the family's 1533-position model. The record is from RNAcentral.
CCUACGGGGGGCAGCAGUAGGGAAUUUUCCACAAUGGACGAAAGUCUGAUGGAGCAACGCCGCGUGAGUGUAGAAGGGUUUCGGCUCGUAAAGCUCUGUUGUUAGUGAAGAAAGAUAGAGGUAGUAACUGGCCUUUAUUUGACGGUAAUUACUUAGAAAGUCACGGCUAACUACGUGCCAGCAGCCGCGGUAAUACGUAGGUGGCAAGCGUUGUCCGGAUUUAUUGGGCGUAAGGCGAGUGCAGGCGGGUAAAUAAGUCUGAUGUGAAAGCCUUCGGCUAAACCGGAGAAGUGCAUCAGAAACUGUUGAGCUUGAGUGCAGAAGAGGAGAGUGGAACGCGAGGUGUAGCGGUGGAAUGCGUAGAUAUAUGGAAGAACACCAGUGGCGAAGGCGGCUCUCUGGUCUGCAACUGACGCUGAGGCUCGAAAGCAAGGGUAGCGAACAGGAUUAGAUACCCUGGUAGUC